This 468-nucleotide ribosomal RNA is filed under the name uncultured bacterium. RNAcentral describes it as "partial 16S ribosomal RNA". It matches the Rfam family "Bacterial small subunit ribosomal RNA", at positions 28 to 507 of the family's 1533-position model. The record is from RNAcentral.
GACGAACGCUGGCAGCGUGCUUAACACAUGCAAGUCGAAGGGAAAGGCCCUGCUUUUGUGGGGUGCUCGAGUGGCGAACGGGUGGGUAACACGUGAGUAACCUGCCCUGGACUUGGGGAUAACGUCAGGAAACUGGGGCUAAUACCGGAUAGGAGCUCCUGCUGCAGGGUGGGGGUUGGAAAGAUUCGGCGGUGGGGGAUGGACCCUCGGCUUAUCAGCUUGUUGGGGGGGUGGUGUGUUACCAAGACUUUGAGGGGUAGCCGGCGUGAGAGGGUGUCCGGCCACAUUGGGACUCUGAUACGCCCCAGACUCUUCCGCGGGGGAGCAGUGGGGAAUAUUGCGGAAUGGGCGGACGCCUGUUGCAGCACCGUUGCGUGCGCGCUAACGGCGUUCUGGGUUUAUACCGCUUUCGCCUGUGACGAAGCGUGAGUGACGGUAAUGGCUAAAGAAGCACCGGCUAACUACGUG